AGAGUUUGAUUCUGGCUCAGAACGAACGCUGGCAGCGUGGAUUAGGCAUGCAAGUCGAACGCGAAACGAGGCGCCCGCAAGGGCAUCUCGCGUAGAGUGGCGUAAGGGUGCGUAAUGCGUGGGUAACCUACCGUCAAGUUGGGGAUAACUCGCCGAAAGGUGAGCUAAUACCGAAUGUGGUCUCUGAACGCAUGUUUGGACGACUAAAGAUGGGGACCGUAAGGCCUGUCGCUUGAUGAGGGGCCCGCGUCCUAUCAGCCUGUUGGUGAGGUAACGGCUCACCAAAGCUUACGGGUAGCUGGUCUUAGAGGAUGGUCAGCCACACUGGGACUGAGACACUGCCAGACUCCUACGGGAGGCUGCAGUCGAGGAUCAUUCGCAAUGCGCGAAAGCGUGACGAUGCGACGCUGCGUGGAGGAUGACGGCCUUCGGGUUGUAAACUCCUGUCAUUCGGGAGCAAUGAUUCCGGUGCGAAUACCAUCGGAAUUUGAUAGUACCGGAAGAGGAAGCGACUGCUAACUCUGUGCCAGCAGCAGCGGUAAGACAGAGGUCGCAAGCGUUGUUCGGAUUUACUGGGCGUAAAGGGUGCGUAGGUGGUGCUGCAUGUCGGAUGUGAAAUCCUACUGCUUAACGGUAGAACUGCAUCCGAAACUGCGGCGCUUGAGUGCAGGAGAGGAAAGCGGAAUUCUUGGUGUAGCGGUGGAAUGCGUUGAUAUCAAGAGGAACACCAGUGGCGAAGGCGGCUUUCUGGAAUGCAACUGACACUGAGGCACGAAAGCUGGGGGAGCAAACAGGAUUAGAUACCCUGGUAGUCCCAGCCCUAAACGGUGUACACUUGGUGUGGGGAGAUUUAACCCUCUCCGUGCCGAAGCUAACGCGUUAAGUGUACCGCCUGGGGAGUACGGCCGCAAGGCUAAAACUCAAAGAAAUUGACGGGGGCCCGCACAAGCGGAGGAGCAUGUGGCUCAAUUCGAUGCAACGCGAAGAACCUUACCAGGGCUUGACAUGUAGCCGCACGCCCGCUGAAAGGCGGGAAGCCUUCGAGGGUGCUACACAGGUGCUGCAUGGCUGUCGUCAGUUCGUGCCGUGAGGUGUUGGGUUAGGUCCCGCAACGAACGCAACCCUUGUGUUCAGUUGCCACCUCCGAUGAUGAGUCGGGGGGCACUCUAGACAGACUGCCCGUGUAAGCGGGAGGAAGGUGGGGAUGACGUCAAGUCAGUAUGGCCUUUAUGCCCUGGGCUGCACACGUGCUACAAUGGUCGGUACAGUGGGAUGCAAUACCGCGAGGUGGAGCCAAUCCAUAAAACCGACCCCAGUUCGGAUUGAAGGCUGCAAUUCGCCUUCAUGAAGCCGGAUUCGCUAGUAAUGGCGCAUCAGCUACGGCGCCGUGAAUACGUUCCCGGGCCUUGUACACACCGCCCGUCACAUCAUGAAAGCCCUCUGCACCUUAAGUCGCUGUACCAACCCGCCUAAUAAGUGGGAGGAAGGCGCCCAAUGUGUGGGGGGUGAUUGGGAUGAAGUCGAAACAAGGUA
Molecule: ribosomal RNA, 1533 nt
Filed under: metagenome
Description: bacterial SSU rRNA
Rfam family: Bacterial small subunit ribosomal RNA
Source: RNAcentral